This 351-nucleotide long non-coding RNA is filed under the name Solanum tuberosum (potato). Its description in RNAcentral is "long non-coding RNA (STUB_LNC003108)". The record is from RNAcentral. Lineage: Eukaryota; Viridiplantae; Streptophyta; Magnoliopsida; Solanales; Solanaceae.
UUGUAGAUGAUGGUACACAAGCAGGCGAGGAAAGUGGAAGGCAAUCAGCAUCCAGAAAUGACCGGAUUUUGGCAGUGGCUCCCAAUUAUGUUGUAGAUUGAUUUGGAAUUCUUGUGAACAGGACAGAAAAUCUGGGGCUGUUUGAGCUCAAUGGCAGCGCGGCCUAAAGUACUAAGAUUGGGGAAAUUGUGUUUUCUAUUGUGAAAGCUGAGAAAUCUUACACCCUUUGUGGAAAUGUUCUACUAUAGGAGACUAACUUGUUCAAGUUAAACUAAUUGUUGUACCUGAGUUUGAGAAUGUGAAGUUAUCAAGCCUAUCUGUACUAGUAUUAGUAUUUGUGUUUGUUUAUGU